CUCACGCCCACGGCAACCACUGGUGGCAAUGGAUCUCCAUGGAGCUGCUCCAGGACCGGUGUCAGCCACGAGUCUUGGUGACGGGCCUGGAGUGACAGGAUGCGGGAAAAUGGGUCCCCCGUGGAGAUCCAUUGACAGAGUCCCUUGGGAGUCGGUCCUGAAGGGAAAAGGAAUCCAGGAAAGGGGGAGACCUGAUCUGCCACUCUUGCGAGCCACGGUGGUUUAGGUUCAGGCCACCUAAUUCGAGCUGUACCCAAAAACGGAUGCCUGUUGGGUAGGAAUCGUGCCCCAUGCGCCUCCACCUGAGGGACUCAGCCCAUCGAAAGGGACCUGGAGCAGUUCCUGAGGGACUCACACCCCCCCAACCCAUCUUCCCCAGGAGCUUUUCCAUCAGGUUUUCUCUUGCUGCCUCUUCCUGAAGCAACGGAGCAGCCCGGGGGAGCACUGGGGGUCAGCCAAGGUCUCCCAUCCCAACCUUCCCACGUUUAGAAUCCCAGGCUGGUUUGGGUUGGACGGACUUCAAAGGUCAUCUGGAUCCACCCCCUGCCAUCUUCCACUAUCCCAGACUGCUCCAAGCCCCAUCCAGCCUGGCCUUGGAGCCAGCUGCAGCUUCUCCGGACACGCUGUGCCAGGGUCUCACCACCAUCACAGACAGGAAUUUCUCCCAGUAAGCCCUCUGGGAGGUGAAAACCCUCAGCCUCCAUCCUCUCCCCUGACUGAGGCCCUCCCCAGCUCUCCUGGAGGUCCCUCUCUAUAUUAUAUUUUAUAUCUCUAUUUGAUUUAUACCUACAGACAGGAAUUUCUCCCAGUAACCCCUCUAAGCCCUCUGGUGUCCCUGAGCCCCCUCAGCCUCCAUCCUGUCCGCUGACUGAGGCCCUCCCCAGCUCUCCUGGCAGCCCCUCUCUAUAUUAUAUUUUAUAUCUCUAUUAGAUUUAUACUACAGACAGGGAGGAAUUUCUCCCAGUAUCCCAUCUAAGCCCUCUGGGAGGUGAAAACCCUCAGCCUCCAUCCUGUCCCCUGACUGAGGCCCUCCCCAGCUCUCCCGGAGGCGCCUCUCUAUAUUAUAUUUUAUAUCUCUAUUAAAUUUAUCCCUACAGACAGGGAGGAAUUUCUCCCAGUAUCCCAUCUAAGCCUGACCUCUGGUGUCCCUGAGCCCCCUCAGCGUCCAUCCUGUCCCCUGACUGAGGCCCUCCCCACCUCUCCUGGCAGCCCCUCUCUGUAUUAUAUUUUAUAUCUCUAUUGGAUUUAUACCUACAGACGGGGAGGAAUUUCUCCCAGUAUCCCCUCUAAGCCCUCUGGGAGGUGAAAACCCUCAGCCUCCAUCCUGACAGUUCACAGAAGCCCUCCCCAGCUCUCCCAGAGCCCCCUCUCUAUAUGAUAUUUUAUAUCUCUAUUAGAUUUACACCUACAGACAGGGAGGAAUUUCUCCCAGUAUCCCAUCUAAGCCUGACCUCUGGUGUCCCUGAGCCCCCUCAGCGUCCAUCCUGUCCGCUGACUGAGGCCCUCCCCAGCUCUCCCGGAGGUCCCUCUCUGUAUUAUAUUUUAUAUCUCUAUUGGAUUUAUACCUACAGACAGGAAUUUCUCCCAGUACCCCAUCUAAGUCCUCUGGGAGGUGAAAACCCUCAGUCUCCAUCCUGUCCCCUGACUGAGGCCCUCCUCAGCUCUCCCGGAGGCUCCUCUCUAUAUUAUAUUUUAUAUCUCUAUUAGAUUUAUACCUACAGACAGGGAGGAAUUUCUCCCAGUACCCCCUCUAAGCCCUCUGGUAUCCCUGAGCCCCCUCAGCCUCCAUCCUGUCCCCUGACUGAGGCCCUCCCCAGCUCUCCUGGAGGUCCCUCUCUAUAUUAUAUUUUAUAUCUCUAUUGGAUUUAUACCUACAGACAGGAAUUUCUCCCAGUAACCCCUCUAAGCCUGCCCUCUGGUGUCCCUGAGCCCCCUCAGCCUCCAUCCUGUCCGCUGACUGAGGCCCUCCCCAGCUCUCCUGGCAGCCCCUCUCUAUAUUAUAUUUUAUAUCUCUAUUAGAUUUAUACUACAGACAGGGAGGAAUUUCUCCCAGUACCCCAUCUAAGCCCUCUGGGAGGUGAAAACCCUCAGCCUCCAUCCUGACCGAGGCCCUCCCCAGCUCUUCCAGAGGCGCCUCUCUAUAUUAUAUUUUAUAUCUCUAUUAGAUUUAUACCUACAGACAGGAAUUUCUCCCAGUAUCCCCUCUAAGCCUGCCCUCUGGAGGCCCCUCUCUAUAUUAUAUUUUAUAUCUCUAUUAGAUUUAUACCUACAGACAGGAAUUUCUCCCAGUAUCCCCUCUAAGCCUGCCCUCUGGAGGCCCCUCUCUAUAUUAUAUUUUAUAUCUCUAUUAGAUUUAUACCUACAGAUGCAUCGGCCCCAAAAGUGGCUCAGGCAGUCCCUGACGAGUUGUGGCCACCUGGGGUAGCCCCUUUUGGGGCUGGGGGCAGUGGGCACAUCCACGGGUUAUUUCAGAGAGCCUCAGGGGGUUUGGGGGGGUCCUGAGGGCUCACGGGGUGUUCGGGGGGGCAGAGCUGUGGAGCAUUUUGAGGGGACUCUGAGGGUAUUUGGGAUCUACUGGGGUCUGUAGGGGGUCUCUGGGGUUUUGGGGGGAGCUACGGGAGUGCGUUCUCCAGGUCCCCAAAGUCCUCCCAACCUCUCCUUCAUCUGAGAGCAUUUAUCUGCACCUGUCAGGGAAGUUCACCACACGGACUCUGCUCCUGACUCCCGUGAAAUCUGGACGUGCAGGAAUGUUUUUCCUGCAAUUUCCCCGGCUCCAAGAGGGACCACGGGAGCGGCACCAAAAAUCAGGAGUGGGGCUUGUCCAUCCCCCACACCGGCAAUCGCAGUUUUGAUUCCAGUUUUAAUUAAAACCUGAACUGUUGAUGA
Molecule: long non-coding RNA, 2886 nt
Organism: Passer domesticus (house sparrow)
Lineage: Eukaryota; Metazoa; Chordata; Aves; Passeriformes; Passeridae
Exons: 2
Source: RefSeq, a predicted model, not a curated record